Ornithorhynchus anatinus (platypus) is the source of this 453-nucleotide long non-coding RNA. RefSeq lists it as uncharacterized. NCBI's taxonomy places the organism in Eukaryota, Metazoa, Chordata, Mammalia, Monotremata, Ornithorhynchidae. The transcript is spliced from 3 exons. The record is from RefSeq and is a predicted model, not a curated record.
UCAGUUGCAAAGCAGAUUCAAGCGUCACAAGGCGAAAACUGAAAAGGGAGCGAGAGAGAUGUCACAGUGGCCCCAGGGUCUGAGGGCUAUAAAUAUGGGGCUGGCCGGCGGCCCCAGCCUCAGUUAACAACCAAUUCCUGCCAAGACCUGACCUGAUUGUGUCACCAUGGCGAGGUCCAGAAGAUCCCGAUCCCGUCGCAAUCUAAGAAACCAACCUGAAGCGGAAAAGAGAAGGUUAGCCAUGAGAACUGUUCGGCCCAGGCGGCGCCGGGCUAGGCGCAGGAGGAGGAGAGCUAUGAGAGGUGGCAGGCGUCAGUAUACUCAGAGGCGACCGUGAGCCCCCAGCUAGGACCCAGGACCUGAAAGGCAGCCGAAUUGGAUAAGAAGGCAGAAAACGAAAGCCGGGACCCAUGAUUGUACUGAUUUUAGUGGAAUUAAAGUGAUCAAAACUCA